This 390-nucleotide transfer-messenger RNA is filed under the name Anaerolineae. RNAcentral describes it as "JAAYDS01 sp012729155 Standard tmRNA". It matches the Rfam family "transfer-messenger RNA". From Rfam's summary of the family: Bacterial tmRNA, also known as 10Sa RNA or SsrA, is named for its dual tRNA and mRNA-like properties. Its role is to liberate the mRNA from a stalled ribosome. The record is from RNAcentral. Lineage: Bacteria; Bacillati; Chloroflexota. RNAcentral also lists the same sequence under 1 other name.
GGGGAUGACAGGCUUCGACAGGGAGGGCUGGUCAGCGGUUGCAGGCCGGGGCGCCUCACCCCGUCAUCAAGGGGCAACGCACACAAGUGCCAAUACCAAGACAACUCCGGCUUUUGCGCUCGCCGCGUAAGCGGUAGAGCAUAAUCGCCACUGAGCGAUACGUCGCUCACGUUCACCCUGGCCUUUGCCCGAGAGGUUGGGAGUGGGCGUAAUCAAAUCGGGAUGCUAGCUGGGCGACACCGAUACACCAGCACAAGAUGAAUCGGUUGGCGAACUCGUGACCCUGUCGAUCGGGGCCGGGAACGCAAGACACAAAUAGAUCGACUAUGCCUGUAGUAAGCUUCUGGACGAACUCUUUGGACGCGGGUUCGAUUCCCGCCAUCUCCACUG